RNAcentral lists this ribosomal RNA (488 nucleotides) under uncultured delta proteobacterium. RNAcentral's name for it is "bacterial SSU rRNA". It matches the Rfam family "Bacterial small subunit ribosomal RNA", at positions 39 to 506 of the family's 1533-position model. Lineage: Bacteria; Deltaproteobacteria. The record is from RNAcentral.
AGCGGCGCGCCUAACACAUGCAAGUCGAGCGAGAAAGGGCUUCGGCCCCGGUACAGCGGCGCACGGGUGAGUAACACGUAGGUAAUCUUCCCUCGAGCGGGGGAUAACCUUCCGAAAGGAGGGCUAAUACCGCAUAAGACCACGGAGGCGAAAGUCUCUGAGGUCAAAGCCGGCCAAUCCACGGAAGCUGGCACUUGAGGAUGAGCCUGCGGCCCAUCAGCUAGUUGGUAGGGUAAUGGCCUACCAAGGCGUANACGGGUAGCUGGUCUGAGAGGAUGAUCAGCCACACUGGAACUGAGACACGGUCCAGACUCCUACGGGAGGCAGCAGUGGGGAAUCUUGCGCAAUGGGGGCAACCCUGACGCAGCGACGCCGCGUGAGUGAUGAAGGCCUUCGGGUUGUAAAGCUCUGUGGAGGGAAACAAAUAAACCAUGGCCAAUAUCCAUGGUGAUGACGGUNUCCUUUUAGCAAGCACCGGCUAACUCUGU